GGUUACAAAGGAGAAUCGGAUUACACCGUGAGAUGGGGAUGCUUCAAGGUUGGAGAUGGAUGAUGGAUGCUCACGGCUAUGCUUCUUCUCCCUUGGCCUUGCUUGAACUCGUGGAGAUGACUAGAGGAUGGAGAAACUCACGGCUAUGCUAAGAAGAUUUUCUGAUUUUUUUCUAAAGUGUAAAUUGUAUGGGGGAGAGGACCCUUUCACGUUGAGAAAAGGGGAGAAUAUAUAGGAGCAUGGCUAGGGUUCACAAAGCAAUCAGAAUUUUCCACAUAGCUUCAACCAAUGAUAAUUCGCCAAGUAAGCUUGUGAUGUGGUCCAACCAAUCAUAGAAUGCCAAGUAAGCCUUGUGAUGUGUUCCAACCAAUCAUAAUUCUCUAAAAUACCUCCCUAAUAUUUAAUUGCCGAAUUUCCUUGAAAUUAUUCUGAUUUUCUUCAUGAAUUUCGGCCAACAUUCCUUUAGGGAAUUUAGGGAUGAAUCUAGACGCCUUUUUAGCUUUUCCUUGGUGCACACAUAUUUUCCUUCCAUAAAUAUCUCCCUUGAAUCUCUCUUGGCGUCAUCUCCUUGAUUAUUUCUGAUUUUCACGUUGGCAAUCACACCAAAUUAUUCCUCCAACAAUAUUUCUUUCCAUAAAAGUCUCCCAAGAAAAUCUCUCCUUGAAAUCCUCAAUCAAUCAUCUUCAAUUCCCACGUUGUCACCUUGUUUUUCCUUAAGUAUUACACGGCAAAUUUAAUCCCCAAGGAAAAUAUAUUUUCCUUUUUUAAAAAAAACUCUUCCUUGAUUCUCUCCUUGCCAUGUCAUCUUCAUGAAACUUCUCGUUCCAUUUAUGAACUCAAUUCUGCUUAUUUAUUCCAAAAACCUGAAAAUAGAAGCUUUCUAAAAUAAGAAAUGGA
Molecule: long non-coding RNA, 897 nt
Filed under: Rosa chinensis
Lineage: Eukaryota; Viridiplantae; Streptophyta; Magnoliopsida; Rosales; Rosaceae
Description: sRNA RchiOBHm_Chr1g0332941
Source: RNAcentral